UGGGGAAUUUUGGACAAUGGGCGAAAGCCUGAUCCAGCAAUGCCGCGUGUGUGAAGAAGGCCUUCGGGUUGUAAAGCACUUUUGUCCGGAAAGAAAUCCUUGGCUCUAAUACAGUCGGGGGAUGACGGUACCGGAAGAAUAAGCACCGGCUAACUACGUGCCAGCAGCCGCGGUAAUACGUAGGGUGCAAGCGUUAAUCGGAAUUACUGGGCGUAAAGCGUGCGCAGGCGGUUUGCUAAGACCGAUGUGAAAUCCCCGGGCUCAACCUGGGAACUGCAUUGGUGACUGGCAGGCUAGAGUAUGGCAGAGGGGGGUAGAAUUCCACGUGUAGCAGUGAAAUGCGUAGAGAUGUGGAGGAAUACCGAUGGCGAAAGCAGCCCCCUGGGCCAAUACUGACGCUCAUGCACGAAAGCGUGGGGAGCAAACAGGAUUAGAUACCCUGGUAGUCCACGCCCUAAACGAUGUCAACUAGUUGUUGGGGAUUCAUUUCCUUAGUAACGUAGCUAACGCGUGAAGUUGACCGCCUGGGGAGUACGGUCGCAAGAUUAAACUCAAUGAAUUGACGGGGUCAUAGCUGUUUCCU
This 583-nucleotide ribosomal RNA is filed under the name uncultured bacterium. Its description in RNAcentral is "partial 16S ribosomal RNA". It matches the Rfam family "Bacterial small subunit ribosomal RNA", at positions 355 to 1375 of the family's 1533-position model. The record is from RNAcentral.